Molecule: ribosomal RNA, 253 nt
Filed under: uncultured bacterium
Lineage: Bacteria
Description: partial 16S ribosomal RNA
Rfam family: Bacterial small subunit ribosomal RNA
Source: RNAcentral
UACGUAGGGUGCGAGCGUUGUCCGGAAUUAUUGGGCGUAAAGGGCUCGUAGGCGGUCUGUCGCGUCGGGCGUGAAAACUCGGGGCUUAACCCCGAGCCUGCAGUGGAUACGGGCAGACUAGAGGUAGGUAGGGGAGAAUGGAAUUCCCGGUGUAGCGGUGAAAUGCGCAGAUAUCGGGAGGAACACCGGUGGCGAAGGCGGUUCUCUGGGCCUUACCUGACGCUGAGGAGCGAAGGCGUGGGGAGCGAACAGG